AAGCCCAACGAUUUUGAAAAUUUUUAUUAGAUGCUUGAUUUUAUAGGAUUCUAGGGUGCUUGGUAUAAAUACCAAACCCUAUCAGAAAUCCAUCCUCUAGACGUGAGAUUUUGACGUCUUUUUUUUUUUUCCCUCUCGUACUCUGAAGAUGAAAAGACGUCAAAGAGAGAAGAAGAUCUGACCUGAGAAGACGAACUGACCUGAAGCUGACCUCAACCUGUGAAUCUUGUGGAAAUCAUCACUUGUUAAAAAUAGUAUUAUCAUCAUGGUUGAUCCACAACAAGAUG
Long non-coding RNA from Rosa chinensis, 287 nucleotides. RefSeq lists it as uncharacterized. The record is from RefSeq and is a predicted model, not a curated record. NCBI's taxonomy places the organism in Eukaryota, Viridiplantae, Streptophyta, Magnoliopsida, Rosales, Rosaceae. The transcript is spliced from 2 exons.